This 453-nucleotide ribosomal RNA is filed under the name uncultured Alphaproteobacteria bacterium. Its description in RNAcentral is "bacterial SSU rRNA". It matches the Rfam family "Bacterial small subunit ribosomal RNA", at positions 29 to 505 of the family's 1533-position model. The record is from RNAcentral. Lineage: Bacteria; Pseudomonadati; Pseudomonadota; Alphaproteobacteria.
AACGAACGCUAGCGGCGUGCUUCAUACAUGCAAGUCGAACGAUGAAGCUUUCUGUUUACAGAAAGUGGAUUAGUGGCAAACGGGUGAGUAACACGUGAGAAUCUACCUUUUUGUGGGGGACAACUACGGGAAACUGUAGCUAAUACCGCAUAUUUUCAGCAAUGAACAAAGACACUUGUGUCGCAAAGAGAUGAGCUCGCGCCAGAUUAGGUAGUUGGUAAGGUAAAAGCUUACCAAGCCGUUGAUCUGUAGCUGGUCUGAGAGGAUGGUCAGCCACACUGGGACUGAGAUACGGCCCAGACUCCUACGGGAGGCAGCAGUAGGGAAUAUUGGACAAUGGGGGAAACCCUGAUCCAGCAAUGCCGCGUGAAUGAUGAAGGCCUUAGGGUCGUAAAGUUCUUUCGCUUGAGAUGAUAAUGACAGUAUCAAGAAAAGAAGUCCCGGCUAACUCUG